Molecule: ribosomal RNA, 253 nt
Filed under: uncultured bacterium
Lineage: Bacteria
Description: partial 16S ribosomal RNA
Rfam family: Bacterial small subunit ribosomal RNA
Source: RNAcentral
UACAGAGGAUGCAAGCGUUAUCCGGAAUGAUUGGGCGUAAAGCGUCUGUAGGUGGCUUUUUAAGUCCGCCGUCAAAUCCCAGGGCUCAACUCUGGACAGGCGGUGGAAACUACCAAGCUGGAGUACGGUAGGGGCAGAGGGAAUUUCCGGUGGAGCGGUGAAAUGCGUAGAGAUCGGAAAGAACACCAGUAGCGAAGGCGGCUCGCUGGGCCACACCUGACGCUGAGACGCGAAAGCUAGGGGAGCGAACAGG